CUCAUCCCCUGUGAGGUGACAGAGGAAGCCAUGGAGGUCAGCAGAGAAGGCUCUGGAGAGCCAGGAAAGUCGUGGCCCCCACCCCAAGCUGAUGGCACCAAGAGAAACUUGCCCACCUACCACAGGACCCUCCUGGCAGCAUCUCCCAGGCUGACCUUUAGGACCCCAUGGCCAUCUUGGGCCACCUUUCUGAGCCACUGGGUCUGGAUGUGGGGACAUGUAGGGUCCUUCCCAGCCCCAGCUAAGAGAGGGGACCUUGGGGAGCUCGCAGAUGAGAGCAGAGCACGCCAGUCCUUGGACUGAGGAAGUUUUGAUGCCACUCUGUGAGUGGACACUGGGCAGAGGUUGGCAGGAAACCCCCCAAUAUAUCUGUGCCCAUUGUAACCCAGGGAAGGGGGCAGCCGGGCACUGCUGUCACAGCCACAGGUUGGCUUUGUGAGCAGAGCUUGGGGGAGGGAGUUGGGGACUGCCAGCACUGGAAAGACACGGGCUUUGACUUUUCAGCUCCUGCUAGGGCUGUGGAGCCAGCUGAAGACAGGGCCCAGGAGCUGGGAGAGCCAUCCCCUGCUCCGGCUCCUGCUGGGACUCUGGCCUGGCUGAAGACUCAGCCAUGGAACAGGGAGAGCCAUGCCCUGCUCCAGCUCCUGCCAGGGCCCAGGAGCAACCUGAAGUCACAGCCAGGGAAGAGGGAGAGCCAUCCCCUGCUCCAGAUUCUCCCUGUGCCUGGGAGACUGCUGAAGCCCCAGCCACGGUCCAGAAAGAGCCAUCCACUGAUCUGCCUCCUGCUGGGGCUGGCGAGCCAGCUGAAGCCACAGCUGGAGACCACGGACAGCCAUCCCCUGCUCCACAUCCUCCUGGAAUCCUGGAGCCUGCUCAGGCCCCAGCCCCGUCCUCGGGAGAGCUCACUCUCCAACGCCCAUCAUCCCCAGCUCCUGACCCAUCCCUUCCACCUUCUUCCUCACCACAACCUCCCUUCGUCUCCCACCUUAACCUGUAUAUCUGUGUAGCCGUUUAUAAUUUUCGUUUUCUUGUCUUGUUGUGGUGUUUGUGUCACCUUGAAAUAGAUUUAUGGAUUUAUAUUUUAAGAAAUCUGUGUUUUCUCCUUUUAAAUUGUACAAUUCCUGAGCAUUAAGUUCCCAGCUCCUAGAGACAGCCCCCAACAGCUCAGUCAUCUAGCAGUUGUCUAGAAGGAGCACCAUGAUUUCCUGUUGUCUUCCCAUGUGCCAGGGCCGCAGCCUCAGCAGAGCCCGCAAGGAGGGCCCAGGAUGCAGAUACGGGCUCCCGUCCCGCUCGAGACAUCUCAGGACAUUUAUGCGGAGGGACACAAAGAGGUCCACUCGGGACACGGAGUCCAGCUCCCCGAGGGAGGAGAAGCUGGGCAGGAACAGCAUAGCGGCAGGCAUGGGGAAAAGGCUGGUGUCCUCAGGGACUGUUGGACAAGGAUCAGAGCCAGCACAGGACCCAGCCCGUGUGCGGGGAGCACAAUCACAUCCAGCAGCUCCUGCACAAGGGCAGGAGACAAGCGGCACCCCAGGACGGGAGCAGGGAGAGCCAGCCCCUCCUCAGGCUCGGGCAGGAGCCAUGCAGCCGGCUCUCAUGGAACCAGCUGAGCAGGGAGGGCCAUCCCCUGCUCCGGCUCCUGCCAGUGCCCUGGGGCAGGCUGAAGCUGUCGCCAGGGAGCAGGGAGAGCCAUCCCCUGCUCCAGAUCCUCCUGGAGCCCUGGAGCCCUGGAGCCCGCUCAGGCCCCAGCAUUGUCCCCGGGAGAGCUCCCUCUCCAACCCCCGUCAUCCCCAGCUCCUGACCCAUCCCUUCCACCUUCUCCCUCACCACGACCUCCCUUCCUCUCGCCCCUUAACCUGUAUGUCUGUGUAGCCGUUUAUGUUUCUCGUUUUCUUUUCUUUUUUUGGUGUUUAUGUAAAUUGUAAAAUAAAUUUAUUUAUAUUUUAAGAA
Equus caballus (horse) is the source of this 1950-nucleotide non-coding RNA. Lineage: Eukaryota; Metazoa; Chordata; Mammalia; Perissodactyla; Equidae. The record is from RefSeq and is a predicted model, not a curated record.